AGAUGCGAUCAUACCAGCACUAACGCUCCGUAUCCCAUCAAAACUCCGAAGUUAAGCAUGCUUGGGCGAGAGUAGUACCAGGAUGGGUGACCCCCUGGGAAGUCCUCGUGUUGCAUCCC
This 119-nucleotide ribosomal RNA is filed under the name Nicotiana attenuata. The record is from RNAcentral. Lineage: Eukaryota; Viridiplantae; Streptophyta; Magnoliopsida; Solanales; Solanaceae.